Camelina sativa (false flax) is the source of this 1469-nucleotide non-coding RNA. NCBI's taxonomy places the organism in Eukaryota, Viridiplantae, Streptophyta, Magnoliopsida, Brassicales, Brassicaceae. The record is from RefSeq and is a predicted model, not a curated record.
CAAGAGUUAAAGACGCAAUUUCUCUGAUUUUUUUUUCUUUCCCUAUUCUCUUCUUCGAUUUCUGUCUACUUCGUUUGCCUCUCUAAUCUUCUUUGGCUCUCUCGCUACGAUUUGACUCUGAUUCUUCUUCUCCCUUUGUUUAAAUCAUCCCAGAAGUCAAAGAGUGAAUCGUUUUGUUAUAGCUACGAAGAAGAGGAGAGAGAUCUCAAGCAUCACGUCUCAUACAAACAACGACAGAGAACAUUCUUAGUUUUGUUUGCAUGCGAUCGAUGACAAUAUCGAUCUCCGUCACUUGUGGGGAUCACCAAAUCUCACCGUAGAAAGAGAGAGAGAGAGACGAUUCGUACGAGUUAGAGGUCGCCGGAAUCCAAGGCUUCGGAAGUCAUGAUGUUGGAUUAAAAAAAUCUCCGGUGACGGAGAUGAUAGCGAUAAAUUGAGGGAUCAUCGUAGAUUGGGGGAUUCGUUUUCCCGGUGUAAACACAUUCGUUGGUGAUCGUGUGUGCUCAGGUCUACAAAAGCCCAACAAAAUCAAUUCAGCCCAUCAAACAGUCACUAGUUGAGCUUGUUUCAAGAAGAGAUGUUGAGAUAAGAUCUGAGCCGUACAUUUGUCACGAUCUGAGCCGUAGGAGAAAGAGAGAGAGAGAGAUUAGAUGGCUCUCUGCAAUCGGCUGCGCGUGUUUCAACAGACGCGCCUCCUCUUGGCCUGGCCGGGGAUUAAUACGCUGCCUUUUGGUAGACAGCUAAUGAAGGCUCUGCAAUGUGUUCCAGCCAUUUUCACCGUGAAUAGAGAGUUCCUUGUACUCGGAGCUGUACCGGAAAUAAGAGAAGUAAGGCUACGUUAAGCUUUGCGUUCACCGGUACCAGCAGCGAUUCAGCUUCUCUAUCUUCUAGGAAUCUCUCCCCCACGAGCGAGAGAUAUGGAGUUGGAUGAAUUCGAAAGACUGUUGGCCAUGGAAGAUACAGAAGAAGCCAAGUGAGAGCUGAGAUGUUUUGUCAGUUGACUGGUGGACUCGAAGCUGCUUGGAGCAAACUAAAAAGGCGAAGGAGGUCUUGACAAAAGAGAUUAUUUCUGAACCAAUGCGAGAUAUAUUAGAAGAGCUCUCCAGGAAGCAGAUGUGAGUGAGUCUCCCAGUUGUUAGAAGGUUCGUUCAGUCUGUUAGUGACCUAGCCGUUGGAAUGGGUGUCCAACCAGAUCAGCAGUUGGUCAAGAUUGUACAUGAUGAGCUAGUGAAAUUGAUGGGUGGAGAAGUAUCUGUGCUGCAGUUUGCUAAAACAGGUCCUACUGUAAUAUUGUUGGCUGGGCUCCAAGGAGUUGGAAAGACAACGGUUUGCGCUAAACUAGCUUGUUACCUAAAGAAACAGGGAAAGUCUUGCAUGCUUAAUUGCUGGAGAUCUAUACCGACCUGCAGCCAUCGAUCAACUUGUCAUUUUAAGUGAACAGAAAGAAACGAUUAGUAGAGAAACAGGGU